This is a long non-coding RNA of Lineus longissimus, 575 nucleotides long. RefSeq lists it as uncharacterized. The record is from RefSeq and is a predicted model, not a curated record. The transcript is spliced from 3 exons. NCBI's taxonomy places the organism in Eukaryota, Metazoa, Nemertea, Pilidiophora, Heteronemertea, Lineidae.
GUCGCUGAUAUUUGAUGAUCCUAUCAAAUAUUUCCUAUUUUUGGAGUAGGGUGUACAUACCAUGAUUUGUGUCCUACCACGAGACCUACACACGGCGACAUUAGUCGGCAGGGAUUGGUGAUCCACUCUGCAAGGCGGCUUUGCGACGUGAUGAUCAUUUUCCAUCCAGAGAUUCAUGAUCGACAUGUAUAGCGACCGAUUUCCCUUCCUCCUACUCAGCCUGGGACUCCUUCUGGCGCAAAUUUUACAUGGUGCUCUUGGAAUAACUGUAGAAAAUAGCCUUAGUAAUUCACGUCCACGCCUCGGCGGAACGAUAACGCUGAAGUGUAACAUUGUUAUUGGGACCGCCAAGAGUGUUUCAUGGUACAAGGACAAAACUGGAAACAUCAAUCAAAUAAUUUAUUUGACGCAAAAUUGUAGUGUUUUCGCAGACAAGUAUAAAUCAAGAUUAAAAAACGUUCAGUGUGAUACGCAUAAUUAUAAUUUUCAAUUAAGUGAUGUUCAAAUUUCGGACAGCGGGGAGUGGCUGUGUGAGGCAGAUGGAGAAGUGGCCGAACCACCGCUGAAAUUAGAUG